AAUUCGAUUUUUCGGUUCGGUUCGGUUUUAAUUUUAAAAAUUUGGUUAAUUCAGUUCGAUUUAUUCGGUUAAUUCGGUUUGGUUCGAUUUUUUUUCAAAACUGAAUAUAAGUUUGGUUUUAGCAAAAAUCGAAAACCAAAUAACCGAAUGCAUACCCCUACCUUCGUGUACUCAAGAACAUUCGACCUAAGAAUUUCUUGUCCUACUGUAACUACAAUCUAAAUGUAGUUCCAACUGAAAAUGUUAAAAUAUAC
This 254-nucleotide long non-coding RNA is filed under the name Salvia miltiorrhiza (redroot sage). RNAcentral's name for it is "long non-coding RNA (SMIL_LNC012998)". Lineage: Eukaryota; Viridiplantae; Streptophyta; Magnoliopsida; Lamiales; Lamiaceae. The record is from RNAcentral.